UCAAGUUAAACAAAUUGUCCACCGUUUCCAUGAGGACUAAGUAACGAAUGCCUCUUUCCUAGAAUCCAAAGGACUGAAACUGGAAAUCAAAGGUGGUUUUUACCCCAUUUGAACAAACUGCUCAGUCCUGCAAGAACUUUAGAAGAAAUCUCAGUGGAUCCUGGAGGCAAAAACCGAAACAAGAAUUAGUCUGCUCUGCAUUCUGGAGAUGGUUCAUGGCUGUUACCAACGAGGUCAUGGAGGGACCAAGAAGAAAAACAAGGGAUUCCGGUUUUGUUUGCAGGAAGAUUAUCAAGAUGGAAACAUUUUAACUAGGAAGUUAUAAAGUGCUUGAAGUACAGACACUGGAAUCCUUAGGGUUCCCGUAACAAGCCCACCCCACCCCUGCCCAAAUGACUGUGUUUCAGAUGCCUUGUAAGCUGAAAAAUGCUGCCCAUGUUCAGACAUCAGA
Long non-coding RNA from Rattus norvegicus (Norway rat), 451 nucleotides. RefSeq lists it as uncharacterized. The record is from RefSeq and is a predicted model, not a curated record. Lineage: Eukaryota; Metazoa; Chordata; Mammalia; Rodentia; Muridae.